This 332-nucleotide ribosomal RNA is filed under the name uncultured eukaryote. RNAcentral describes it as "partial 18S ribosomal RNA". It matches the Rfam family "Eukaryotic small subunit ribosomal RNA", at positions 1470 to 1796 of the family's 1831-position model. The record is from RNAcentral.
CCCUUAGAUGUUCUGGGCUGCACCCGUGCUACACUGGCAGGUUCAGCGAGCUUCAUGCCCUGAUCUGAAAGGAAUGGGAAAUCUUUUCAAAACCUGCCGUGCUUGGGAUAGAUGUUUGCAAUUAUUCAUCUUCAACGAGGAUUGCCUUGUAAGCGCACGUCAUCAGCGUGCAUUGAAUACGACCCUGUAUUCUGUACACACCGCCCGUCGCUCCUACCGAUCGAAGUUUUCGGUGAGUUGACAGGAGGAUUUUUUUGAAACUGGUUCGCCAGUGGAUUUUAGAUCCAAAUGCCAACGAAUCGAUGGCUUUAGAGGAAGGAGAAGUCGUAACA